Acanthochromis polyacanthus (spiny chromis) is the source of this 3981-nucleotide long non-coding RNA. RefSeq lists it as uncharacterized. NCBI's taxonomy places the organism in Eukaryota, Metazoa, Chordata, Actinopteri, Pomacentridae. The transcript has 5 exons. The record is from RefSeq and is a predicted model, not a curated record.
CCAACUGGUGGAUGUAAAACACACUCCAGGCCUGAAGGGGCAACAUAAGCACAGGAGUGGAACUAAAAAAUGACAACCAGUGCUUCCACAGGGACACAAUUUACCUGGGCACCGUCUCAUCCAGCAGGCCUUAAAAUGUUUGGUGAUCAGUCAGUCUUCCUUUGAUCCUGGUCAUCAUAUGAAGUAAGACACAGCUGCUGUUUGGACCGUGAGGACGCAUCUGGCUAGCUGCUGCAAGGCCUAGAUGGUGCCUCCCCCCCUGGGUGGCUCAGCAGUGCAGAAGCGACAACAGGUGUGCCUUAUCAGCAAUCCUCAGCUGGAACUAGGAGCAGGUGGAGAUCAUCUAAUCAAGCACACCCUGCCUCAGUAUAACCAGACGCCUCACAUCUCAAGCGCCAGAUCGUGACACAUCAGUUUUGGUUCCACCUGCUCCUAGUAGAGUCCUCUACACCUGAUUCUGGUCUCUGCUUCAGCGAGAAGGGAAAUCUCUCCAGGCCGCCGGUGGCUCAGCAGUGCAGAAGCAACGACAGGUGUGCCUCAUUAGCAAUCCUCAGCCAGAACUAGGAGCAGGUGGAGAUGGUCUAAUCAAGCACACCCUGCCUCGGUAAAACCAGGCGCCUCUCAACUCAAGCGCCAGAUCAUGACACAUCAGUUUUGGUUCCACCUGCUCCUAGUAGAGUCCUCUACACCUGAUUCUGGUCUCCACUUUGGUAAGAAGGGAAAUCUCUCCAGGCUGUCGUAAGUAAAGUUUAUUUAUAUAGCACUUUUCACAGAUAUAAAAUCAAAGAGCUUUCCAUUAAAAGAAAAAUAAGGCAUUAAAAAAGCCUCCACAAUGUGAAAGCACAUUUCUCAUAAAAUCACACAUGUAAAGACGCACACCCUUGGGCGUCUCAUCCAUUCACCUGUUGUCUGUUACCCCCCACCACCACCUGGCCCUGCACGCUGGCUCCCUCCACUGAAUCGUCCUGUGCAUCACAGAGAAUUUGAGUUGGUUAGUUUGGUCGUAGUUUCCGCUCUUGUACAGAGCAUCGUUCAGAGUAUUCUUUAUUUGUAGUAUUCACUCAAACCUUGUGGUUAUAGUAAAUUGGUUUGUUUUAUAGCAGUUAAGUGUCACCUACUGCAAGUAGGAAUUAUUUGGUGUUUCUUUAUAGUUUCCAGCCACUAGUAGUCACUGUAUUGUUUCCUGUGUAGUUGCCAUCUUGGUUUGUAGUUGCUUGGAACAGCUGUAAAAAAGCAAAUUGUGUUGCAUUCAAAGACAGACGGUCAUUUCCUGAGCCAACCCGACAUCAUAACUUUUUCACGGUCUACUAUACAUUUCAUCAUAUGGCAUGUCGGAAAAAUGGCAUUUCGACAUACUAUGGUGUUGGACAAAAUUCAUGAUUUUUUUUGUUUCAAAGAAAAGUGCUCUGUAGUGUUAACAGCCGACUUUACAUUUAAUUUUGCAGUGUGCAUUUAUCUUGCACUGUUUUUUGCACUGUACAUUAAUCUUUGGCAGUAUGCAUUUUGUUUGAAAUAGUAUACUAUGGCGUUUAUUUUGAACAAAGUUCAUUAUCACUUUUUUCCAAAGAAAACUGCUCUACAGUGUUUUUCACAGCCUACUUUACCUUAUUUAAUCUUGCACUGUGCAUUUGUAUUGCAGUGUUUUUUGCACUGUACGUUAAUCUUUUGCAGUGUACAUUUAUUUGUUUGAAAUACUAUACCAUGGUAUUUACUCUGGACAAAACUCAUUAUCACUUUUUCCAAAAAACUACCGUACAGAGUUUUUCACAGCCUACUUUAUAUUAUUUCAUCUUGCAGUGUGUGUUUUUGUUCGGCAUGCUAUACUAUGGCGUUAAUAUUGGACAAAAUUCAUGAUCACUUAAUUCAAAGAAACCUGCUGUAUAGUGUUUCUAACAGCCUACUUUACAUUUCAUUUUAGUGUGUUUUGCAGUGUUUGUAUUUUUGUUUGACAUCCUACACUGGUGUUUGUUUAGGACAAAAUUCAUGUUUUUUUUUCUUCAAAGAAAACUGCUGUGUACAGUUUUUCACGGUGUACUUAACAUUAUCAUAUGGUGUCUUUAUGGCAUGCUGGGAAAAAAUGGCAUUAUUUCGACAUACUAUGGUGUUAAUUUUGGACAAUAUUUGAUUUUUUUAAAUUUUGUUUCAAAGAACUGCUCUGUUUUCAACAGCCUACUUUACAUUUCAUUUUACAGUGCGCGUUUGUAUCUUGCAGUGUGCUUUUAUCUUGCACUGAGUUUAUCUUGCAGUGUGUACGUUUGUAUUUUGCAGUGUUUGUAUUUUUGUUCAAACUAUAGAGUAUAUUUUGGACAAAAUUCAAGACUUGGUUUUUCAAAGAAAACUGCUAGUGUUUAACAGCCUACUUUACAGCAUUUCAUCUUGCAGUGUGUGCAUUUGUAUCUUGGAGUGUGAAUUUGUAUCUUUAUUCGACAUACUAUGGCGUUCAUUUAGGACAAAUUCAUGAUCCUUUCAAAGAAAACUGCUCUAUGGUGUUUCUCAGUGUAACUUGCAUUAUUUCAUCUUGCACUGUUUGUAUCUUGCAGUGUGCAUGUGUAUUUUUGUUUGACAUACUGUACAAUGCCAUUUAUUUUGGACAACAUUCAUGAUCCUUUUUUUUCCCCAAUGAAAACUGCUUUAGUGUUUUUCACAGCCUUCUUUACAUAAUUUCAUUUUCCAGUGUGCGCUUUUAUCUUGCAGUGUGCGCUUGUAUUUUUGUUCGACAUACUAUACUGUGGCGUUUAUUUUGUACAAAAUUCAUGACCCUUUUUUUAACCAAAAAAACUGCUCUACAGUGUUUUUCAUGGCAUACUUCACAUUAUCAUAUGGCGUGUCUUUAUGGCAUGUUGGAAAAAUGGCAUUAUUUUGACAUACUAAGGUGUUAAUUUUGGACAAAAUACAUGUUUUCCCAAAGAAAACUGCCCUAUAGUGGUUUUCACAGCCUACUUGACAUUAGUUCAUCUUGCAGUGUGCGUUCAUUUUUGUUCGACAUACUAUACUAUGGCAUUCAUUUUGGACAAAAUUCAUGUUCCUUUCUUUUAACCAAAGAAAACUGCUCUACAGUGUUUUUCACGUGUACUUUACAUUAUCAUAUAUGGCAUGUUUGGAAAAAUGGCAUUAUUUCAACAUGGUAAGGUGUUAAUUUUGGACAAAUUUUUUUUUGUUUCAAAGGAAACUGCUUUAGUGUUUUUCACAGCCGACUUCACAAUUCCUAUUGCAGUGUGCAUUUAUAUUUAUGUUCGACAUACUAUGGCGUUAAAAUUGGACAAAAUUCAUGAUUUUUUUUCUCUCCAAAGAUGACUGCUCUAGUGUUCGUCACGCUGUACAUUACAUUAUCACAUGGUGUCUUGACAUGUCCGGGGAAAAAUGGCAUUAUUUCGACAUGGUAAGGUGUUAAUUUUGGACAAAUUUUUUUUUUGUUUCAAAGGAAACUGCUUUAGUGUGUUUCACAGCCAACUUCACAAUUCCUAUUGCAGUGUGCAUUUAUAUUUACGUUCGACAUACUAUGGCGUUAAAAUUGGACAAAAUUCAUGAUUUUUUUCUCUCCAAAGAUGACUGCUCUAGUGUUCAUCACGCUGUACAUUACAUUAUCACAUGUUGUCUUGACAUGUCCGGGGAAAAAUGGCAUUAUUUCGACAUGUUACGGUGUUAAUUAUGGACAAAAUUUAUGAAGUUUUGUUUCAGAGAACUGCUCAAGUUUUUGAAAGUGUACUUUACAUUAUUUCAUUUUUGCAGUUUGUAUUUGUGCUUGACAUACUGUACUAUGGUGUUUAUUUUGAAUAAAAUUCAUGACUUUUUGUCAAAGAAAACUGCUCGAGUAUUUUUUUUCACAGCUACUUUCUAUUGUUUCAUCUUGGAGUUUGUUUUGCAGUGUGCUUAUAGUGUUGUUCAACAUACUAUACCAUGCCAUUUAUUUUGGACAAAAUUCGUGAUCCUUUCCCCCCCCCCAAAGAACACUGCUUUAGUGCUUUUCACAGCCUCAUUUAC